ACUCAACACUAAUAAAUUAAAAAGGGUGAGUUUAAGUUGUUAAAUCGUGCUGAAAAUUUUCAGAUUUUUGAUCAGCUUUGUAGCCCUAAACCUGUUAAAAAGGAGUUU
Molecule: small RNA, 108 nt
Filed under: Flavobacteriaceae bacterium
Lineage: Bacteria; Pseudomonadati; Bacteroidota; Flavobacteriia; Flavobacteriales; Flavobacteriaceae
Also listed under: 1 other name
Description: 6S RNA
Rfam family: 6S-Flavo RNA
Source: RNAcentral